GUACACUCCUGCGGGAGGCAGCAGUGGGGAAUUUUGGACAAUGGGGGCAACCCUGAUCCAGCAAUGCCGCGUGAGUGAAGAAGGCCUUCGGGUUGUAAAGCUCUUUUGUCAGGGAAGAAACGGUGGUGGCGAAUAACUACUACUAAUGACGGUACCUGAAGAAUAAGCACCGGCUAACUACGUGCCAGCAGCCGCGGUAAUACGUAGGGUGCAAGCGUUAAUCGGAAUUACUGGGCGUAAAGCGUGCGCAGGCGGUUGUGUAAGUCAGAUGUGAAAUCCCCGGGCUCAACCUGGGAAUUGCAUUUGAGACUGCACGGCUAGAGUGUGUCAGAGGGGGGUAGAAUUCCACGUGUAGCAGUGAAAUGCGUAGAUAUGUGGAGGAAUACCGAUGGCGAAGGCAGCCCCCUGGGAUAACACUGACGCUCAUGCACGAAAGCGUGGGGAGCAAACAGGAUUAGAAACCCUGGUAGUCCCAU
Molecule: ribosomal RNA, 476 nt
Filed under: uncultured organism
Description: partial 16S ribosomal RNA
Rfam family: Bacterial small subunit ribosomal RNA
Source: RNAcentral